This 430-nucleotide ribosomal RNA is filed under the name uncultured Coriobacteriaceae bacterium. Its description in RNAcentral is "bacterial SSU rRNA". It matches the Rfam family "Bacterial small subunit ribosomal RNA", at positions 355 to 794 of the family's 1533-position model. Lineage: Bacteria; Bacillati; Actinomycetota; Coriobacteriia; Coriobacteriales; Coriobacteriaceae. The record is from RNAcentral.
UGGGGAAUCUUGCGCAAUGGGGGAAACCCUGACGCAGCGACGCCGCGUGCGGGAUGAAGGCCUUCGGGUUGUAAACCGCUUUCAGCAGGGACGAGGCCUACAAGGUGACGGUACCUGCAGAAGAAGCUCCGGCUAAAUACGUGCCAGCAGCCGCGGUAAUACGUAUGGAGCAAGCGUUAUCCGGAUUCAUUGGGCGUAAAGCGCUCGUAGGCGGUCUGUUAGGUCGGUAAGUUAAAUCCGGGGGCUCAACCCCCGUCCGCUUCCGAUACCGGCAGACUUGAGUUUGGUAGGGGAAGGUGGAAUUCCUAGUGUAGCGGUGGAAUGCGCAGAUAUUAGGAAGAACACCGGUGGCGAAGGCGGCCUUCUGGGCCAUAACUGACGCUGAGGAGCGAAAGCUAGGGGAGCGAACAGGAUUAGAUACCCUGGUAGU